RNAcentral lists this ribosomal RNA (384 nucleotides) under uncultured bacterium. RNAcentral's name for it is "bacterial SSU rRNA". It matches the Rfam family "Bacterial small subunit ribosomal RNA", at positions 30 to 409 of the family's 1533-position model. The record is from RNAcentral.
AUUGAACGCUGGCGGCAUGCCUUACACAUGCAAGUCGAACGGCAGCACGGGAGCAAUCCUGGUGGCGAGUGGCGAACGGGUGAGUAAUAUAUCGGAACGUGCCCAGUCGUGGGGGGAUAACGUAGCGAAAGCUAACGCUAAUACCGCAUUACGAUCUAUGGAUGAAAGCGGGGGAUCGCAAGGACCUCGCGCGAUUGGAGCGGCCGAUAUCAGAUUAGGUAGUUGGUGGGGUAAAAGCCUACCAAGCCUUCGAUCUGUAGCUGGUCUGAGAGGACGACCAGCCACACUGGAACUGAGACACGGUCCAGACUCCUACGGGAGGCAGCAGUGGGGAAUUUUGGACAAUGGGCGCAAGCCUGAUCCAGCAAUGCCGCGUAGCAGGAU